UCGGGGUGCGCGGCGCUGGGACUGGAGCAGUUAGAGCGGCCGCCCCUCGGGGCCGCCCAACCACCACCCCGCACUCCUCAGCUCCGGCCGCGGCAGCAACAACUGCGAACUUUCUCCGGCUGAAGUCCCUGGGCCCCUUUCCCCUCUUCCUCCCUGCUUCGGUCCCGCCCCCCCCCCCGCCUCGUCUCUAGUCUCCCCUAGACUUCUCCCCCCUCCGGACUCCCAGCUUGCUUCUGGCCUCCUCUUCCUCUGGCCUCUUUGUUCAGCUCCCCUUCUCCCUGCCUCUUCCCGGACUCCCUUUCCCCCCAUCCCCAGCUCCCCCCAGCCUUUUCCACUUUCCCUCUUUCCCCAAGACCCCCCCCCGCCUUAGCUCCUCCUCUCCAUUUCCCAUUCUUUCUUCUCCUUCACUGGUCGGCACUCCAACAGCAUCUUUCCUCGAUCCCCAUCUCUCCUCCCUCUACAACUCCCACUGUCCCCUCUCCUUUCCCUCCCCUGGUUACCCCGCUCCUGGAAGCCCCCCGUCCCAGGCCCUCUUUGCUCCUUCCUCUCCUUGGCCAUGCUGCACCCCCCGAAGUCUGCACCCCCAACCGAGAUCUAUCCGUCGGAGAAGAUCGUGGUCCUCCUGUCCUGCGUCCUCUCCUUCGUGGGUUCCAGUCUCCUCAUAGGCACCCAUGCCCUGUGGCCGGACCUGCGGAGCCGGGCUCGGCAGCUGCUCCUCUUCUUGUCCCUGGCGGACCUGCUCUCGGCCGCCUCCUACUUCUAUGGGGUACUUCAGGACUUCCAGGACACCACCUGGGACUGCGUGGUGCAGGGAGCCCUCUCCACCUUCGCCAACACCAGCUCCUUCUUCUGGACCGUGGCCAUCGGGGUGUACUUGUAUAUCACCAUCGUCCGCAACAGCCAGGGCCCCUGGGCUGGGACCCGCCUCCUCUACUGCUUCCACAGCAUCAGCUGGGGCAUCCCGCUGGCCAUCACCGCAGCAGCUGUUGUCCUGAAGAAGAUUGGCUAUGACGCCUCCGACGUGUCCGUGGGCUGGUGCUGGGUCAACAUCGAGGCCGAAGACCGGCUGUUGUGGAUGCUGCUGGCGGGGAAGCUCUGGGAGAUGCUGGCCUACCUGGUGCUCCCGGUACUCUAUAUCCUCAUCAGGAAGCACAUCAGCAGGGCGCACGCCGCACUCUCCGAGUACCGGCCCCUCCUGGCGGAGACGUACGCUUGUCAGCACCGGACCUCAGUGGCGGAUAAGAAGCUCAUUCUCAUCCCUCUCAUCUUCAUCUGCCUGCGUGUCUGGAGCACAGUGCGAUUCAUCCUGACUCUCUGCAACUCCCCGGCUGUGCAGACUCCUGUGCUGGUGGUCUUACAUGGAAUUGGGAACACAUUCCAAGGAGGUGCCAACUGCAUCAUGUUCGUCUUCUGUACUCAAGCCGUCCGAGCCCGGCUCUUCUCUCUCUGCUGCUGCUGCUGCCAGCGCUUGUCUCCCUCCCUGGAGAAUGCAGAUGGCAAUUACAGGGGCCCCUCGCCCUCAAGGACAGGAGAGUCCCAGCAUUCUAAAUAGACCCUAGCUGGCCUGCCAAGCAUCUGUUUGACCCCAGCCCGCUUGCCUAAAUCUCUGGGUGGCUUCUGGUUUCCUGGAACACCCCUCCCCCCCUUGAGCUGUGAGUCCCUGCUGGGGGUGGUGAUUCUGGGCAGGGGAUUGGGUUGCACAUAGAGUGUGUGUUUGCUGCUCAUAGGUCCGUCUUUCGUGUGUGUUCCCAAACAUGGGGGUGGAGGCUGUACGCUCCUGUUCUACUAUGUCCUAGGACUCUUGGGUAAUGCUUUACCAUGUGACCUACCUCAUGGGAGGUCAGGGAGCCUCUGCCUCUGUGUGUGUGUGUGUGUGUGUGUGUGUGUGUGUGUGUGUGUGUGUGUAGAGGGAGAGAGAGAGAGCGAGAGUGCGCAUAGUAUGUGGAGAAGAGGAAGCCAGAUCUCAGGGUCUCAUCGACUUGGCCAAGGAGGGAGGAUCUCACAGACUAGGGUUGUUAAUCUUUCUGAAGCUGUGUGCUCUCCUCUAUUAGAGAACAUGGUGGGGGGGGGGGUUGGUGGUUGAGGGACUCCCCCUGCCAGGAGUCAUCCUGGACCUUGCACUCUACGCCAAGGAAAACGUUGAAGAAGUCCAAUCUUCCCAACCUCGGUUUACACAAAGUGUCCGACAACCUAGGAAUUGGCAAAAGAUUUCAAAGAGGUUUCUGGGUGACUAAUCAUAGCAAAACCCCAGCUGAGAGUGUCUGAUGGAGAACAUUCGAAGGGAUAGCAGGAGUUGUUGACUACCUGCAAGAGACACCUGAAUCUGUUGGUGCCUUUGGCGCCCUCCUGUGGAUUACUCCUGGUACAGCUACUUGCUUCAAACACUAACCAGAGCAGUGUGUUCGAAUUUUUGCAUGUCAUGGACCCUUGUAACAGCCUGAAGAAGCUUAUGGGCCUCUUUUCUAAAGAAUGUUUUUAAGUAAUUGCAGGAAAUGCAAGUUAUGUGAAAAUAAAGAUGUGGGGUUUUUUUUUUCCUACUCCAAAGUCACAGACUCACGUCCCCCCACCCACACACACAUACACAAACACCAAAUUUAUCCAUGGACUAGACCCUGGGGUAAGAAACCUUUGUCUAGAGUCUAGCUUGCCUAGAGGUCCCCUGCCACCCCCGUCAUCUCUUUUUUUGAGAAUAGAAUUACAAGAAAAUACUUGAGUAAAGUCACAUUUCCCCCUUCUCACUGGGAUUUUUGCUAACACACCGACUUUUUUGGUGGGAAAAGACAUCCAGAAAGCAGUUAAAUGAAUGAUCUGCUAGGGUGUUUUUUUGCUCUCCCACCUGCCCCCCCAAAAAAAACAAAUACUACAGCGUGUUGAGGGGAAGGUGAGCCUCUGGCUGAAGAUAGAGUCGCUGUCUUGGCCGAUUUGAGAGGAAGUGAUGAAAUGGGUCUCGAGGCUAGCCUCUCUGAGUUUCAGGGGACAAAAAAGACCUGGAAUAAGCUGCUUUGGAUGUAACUGCUCAUGCAGCCCAACUUCCUCUUCUUCUUUUUUUAAUUCCGGAAAGUAAUUCCACCCCCUCCCCUUCACCCGACAACUACUGUGGCCUCUUUCUCUCUUUCCCAGUUUUCCAACACCCUGGGCCAGUACUGAGCAGACAGUCUGAGCCUGAGACUGGACUAUCCAAUAGCCCUUCCCAGAGAAAUGGGACCAGGUGACUGGGCGCUACAGGAAAAGAAGCUGAAGCGUUACUGAUCCCCAUUACUGAUACUCAGAAUUAAAACCAUAGCCCCUCUUUAUUUUGAUUCCUGUUUUGCUGGCAACACACUUUUUUUCAGAGAGGAGACCUGUGAGUUGAUGAUAAAUAAUACUUGUGGUUCCUUUUAGAAACAGUUUGAAUUUUUACCUUGGGCAGGGAAGGAAAACCAAAAACCUUCACUCUCAAAACCUUACAUGUGUUGUUAAGUCAAGAGUAUUUAAGUAACUCAUGCCAGGCUCUGUGCUGAGCGAUUUACAAAUAUUAGCUCCUUUGAUCCUCAACAACAAUCCCGGGAGGUAGGUGGCAUUAUUGUCUCCAUUUCACACAUGAGGAAACUGAGGCACACAGAGGGCAAACACAGGGAUCAUACAGCUCGGAAGUGCCUGAUGUAGAAUUUGAACUCGAGCCUUGCUGACUGUAGUUGUGUGCACUAUGGCGUCACCUGGUGACCUGUAUGACCUCUGCAUUCCCUUAAGAGUUCUAGAUAUAUGAUCCUGUAGGAUUCUUAACCUCUAUAAAAUGAGAGGCAUCAUGACUUAGUGGGGAUAGGCAUCAACUCCUCCCUCUCACCUUUCCUAGCUAUGUGACCCUGGGCAAGUCAAUUCACUUCUGUUUGCCUCAGUUUCUUCAUUUGUAAAAUGGGGAUAAUUAUAGCAUCUCCCUCUUCGGAUUGGUUUGAGGAUCGAGAUAAUAACUGUAAAACACUCAACACAGUGUUUGGCACGUAGUGAUUGCUAUUGUUAUUUCAUUUUCCUCAACAGGUAAGGCUGAAAAAUAACCUGUAGAUGGAGCCAGAAACUCAGGAGCCUAUCUCAGGGCUCAACCCCAGUGGGGAAGAAGGGAGGGAGGUUUCAUCCCUGAGUGCCCUUUUUCUCCCAGCAGCUCCUUCCCAGGGGGCCUCUCAAGAUGUUAGUUGGACAUCCUCCCCCUCCCUCUUUAGUGCCCUCUGCUCCCCGCCCCUUUUCCCAACAAACCCACGUCUAGGAUUUCUUCUCUCCAGGUGUGCACAGGGGCAGGGAAUGCAUACUGGCAUCACCUGCCCCACCCAGGACAGGUUUACAGGAAGUCUCAGCCCCAGCCCACCCUUUGUGCAACGCUGUGGGGAAGCUGAGAUGACAGCAACUGGUCCAAACCUGCCCUUGUGGUCCUUCUCCCUUGGAGAACAUAAAAGCAUUUAGUUUAAAAGAUAAAUUAUCUCUUGGAAGCAGGGUUUUAAAAGAAACAACAAAAACUUCUUGACUGAAUAAUAUACCUUUACCAGGUGUUCUUGCCACCAGUACACCAGGUUCUGUGUGGAGCCCGCAAUUUAGUUUCCCCAGGCUACCCCAUGUCUUCCUCUCCUGUGGCCAGGACAGCCUUGAAGAGGGAUGGGAUGACCCCAAAGCUUUUGGAUAUAGCCCUGAGCCAGCCAACACCACCACCCCCCAAUCAGAUUUCACUCUCUCCAAUGUGCUCUUAAUUGUGUACAUCUGGAACACAAAUUUUGAAGGCUGCUGUGAGCCCCUUGGGGUGUUUUUCUCAUCCUUUCCUGUUUUCUAACCCAAUUACCAGCCAAAUGUCCAUUUCUUUCUGUGUGGGGGGGGGGGGGGCGGUGUUUGUAGAGAAAUGAUUUCUAUUUCCGCACGGACAGGGUCCUCUUGUCCACCACAGGGCAAACGCAUUUUUUAUAAAAUUCUCGUAAUUUAAUAAACUGCUAUGUGUUCGUGGGAGUUGAUGUAUUUGGAGGGAAGGAUGUUUGGCUCAAUGUGUUUGUUGAUGAAGCAUCCACUCUGAUUCCAGGGAGGAAGGGACAUAGGACAGCAGAAAGAAGGAUGGGUUUAGGGCAGCUAGGUGGUGCAGUGGAUAAAGCACUGGCCUUGGAUUCAGGAGGACCUGAGUUCAAAUCCAG
Molecule: RNA transcript, 5141 nt
Organism: Dromiciops gliroides (monito del monte)
Lineage: Eukaryota; Metazoa; Chordata; Mammalia; Microbiotheria; Microbiotheriidae
Gene: GPR157
Gene name: G protein-coupled receptor 157
Exons: 5
Source: RefSeq, a predicted model, not a curated record